RNAcentral lists this ribosomal RNA (406 nucleotides) under uncultured bacterium. RNAcentral describes it as "partial 16S ribosomal RNA". It matches the Rfam family "Bacterial small subunit ribosomal RNA", at positions 355 to 778 of the family's 1533-position model. The record is from RNAcentral.
UGGGGAAUAUUGGACAAUGGGGGCAACCCUGAUCCAGCAAUGCCGCGUGUGUGAAGAAGGUCUUCGGAUUGUAAAGCACUUUCGACGGGGACAAUGAUGACGGUACCCGUAGAAGAAGCCCCGGCUAACUUCGUGCCAGCAGCCGCGGUAAUACGAAGGGGGCUAGCGUUGCUCGGAAUGACUGGGCGUAAAGGGCGUGUAGGCGGUUUACACAGUCAGAUGUGAAAUCCCCGGGCUUAACCUGGGAGCUGCAUUUGAUACGUGUAGACUAGAGUGUGAGAGAGGGUUGUGGAAUUCCCAGUGUAGAGGUGAAAUUCGUAGAUAUUGGGAAGAACACCGGUGGCGAAGGCGGCAACCUGGCUCAUGACUGACGCUGAGGCGCGAAAGCGUGGGGAGCAAACAGGAU